Chlorocebus sabaeus (green monkey) is the source of this 3660-nucleotide non-coding RNA. The record is from RefSeq and is a predicted model, not a curated record. NCBI's taxonomy places the organism in Eukaryota, Metazoa, Chordata, Mammalia, Primates, Cercopithecidae.
AAAGAUGUUUGGUGUUGAUAGUCAUUAGUGAGAUACAAAUUAAAAUCACAGUGAGAUGGCACUGUACACCUGUUAGAAUGGCUAAAGACUGAUUGUACACUGCUGGUGGGAAUGUAAAAUGGUACUAUCAAUGUGGAAAACAGUUUGCAAGUUUCUGAAAACAUUAAAUGUUUACCAUACGAUUUAGCCAUUCCUAUUUAUGUAAGAGAAAUGAAAGCAUAUGUCCCUAGAAAAGUGUAUACAUAAAUGUUUAUAGAAGCUUUAUUUGUAAUAACUGGAAACAACCCAAGUGUGUCUAUCAACAUGUCAGUGGGUAAACAAACUGGUAUAUUCAUAUAAAGGAAUACUACUCAGCAAUGAAAAGGAGUGAACUAGUGAUACAUUCAAUGACAUGGAUAAAUCUCAAAAUAUUAACACUGACUGAAAGAACCAGACAAAUAAAGAAGACACACUGUGUUUUUUUAGUCAGUUGGAGGUACUAUAACAGAAUUUCAUGGAUUGGGUGGCUUAAACAACAGAAAUUUAUUUCUCACAGUUCUGGAGGCUGGAAAGUCCAAGAUCAACAUGCCUGAAGACUCAGUGCUUGAUGAGGACCUGCUUCCUGAUUCAUAGCCAGCCAUAUUCUAGCUGUGUCCCCACAUGGCUAAAAGAAGGUGGACAUGCCCAGCAGGCUGCAUUUACCCUGCUGAUCUGUGGGCUAUUUUCACCCUUCUCGAUCUUUGCUAUUGCAAAUGAAUAUGCUAUGAGCAUAUUGUAUAAGUCACCUACAAGUCUUCCUGUGGACAUGUGCUUUUGUCACUCUUGGAAAAAUAAUACCUAGUAGUGGAAUGGCUGGAUCAUAUAAGCCAGAAAAUGCAUGACACAGGAGAAGAUGCACCCUUAUCUGUUCAGUGAGAGAUGUGCAAAUCAACAUCAACACAGAACUGCUGAAGAAAAAAAAAUGUCUCUGGAAAGCAACUUAUCCACCGGAGAUGUGAGGAGUCAUCCACACAUCACAAUUCUAUAGACAUCAAAUGCAAGAAGCAUUUCCGAUCUGCUUCAAGACAGAGGCAGACUUUCCAUCUGGACACAGCCAACCAUCCAUGUGUCAUUACAAUGAAUUCAGCACUUCCCUGGAAGCUGGAAGGGUCAAAUUCAACUUCAGCUCUGCCACUUACUGCUUAACUUGCUGUUUAACCUUGGGCAAGCUGCCAUCCCACAUGAGGCCGAAGGUGUUGGUUUUUAAAAUACAGAAGUUGGAUUCCAUGAAGGAUUAUCGAUAUACUGCUGGUGGGUCAAACUCCAUCUGCUACUUGCUUUUGUAAAUAAAGUUUUAUUGAAACACAAACAUACCCAUUAAUUUACUCUUGUCUAUGACUACAAGGGCAAAGUUGAAUCAUUGUUACAGUGACCAUCAGGCUCACAAAACCUAGAUUAUUUACUAUCUGCCCAUUUACAGAGUAAGUUUGCCAGCCCUGGACUGGAUGCUUUUUUGAGUUCUUUCUAAUUCUAGAAUUCUUUAUAUAUUUUAUGAAACCCCUAAUGUUUAUAUAUUAAUUAUUUCAAUACCCGUGUGUUUACUGAAUUCCUCCUAUGAAGCAUACAUCAAGAUAUAUGUGUGAUACAUUAACUAAACUUUGUAACAGUAUCUUAAAUAGGAUUUCAAUGACUAACAGCUCUUGGAAAUAUCCAAGGUAACAUUUUGGGGCAAAUGUCUUAUGAUCUGAUUAUCGUUGGUAAAUAGAGCAUAUCUUUUUUCCUACUAACAAUGUUUAAGAAGUUAAAAAAAAAAAAAUCAAGAAAACCCCGUAUGGCACUAGAGACUUAUUGCAUUAAGACAUCAUCUUAACAGAUUGUUUAGUUUUGGUAAUAUAAUUUGACAUCUAAACAUAAGCUGAGAGGGAUCUCCCUCAAAACCUUUGAUAAUAUGAUUCAUUGUCAAAUGUUUGUUUUGCCUAUCUGGCACUCAUUAAUUAAUUCUUUUUAAUAUAGCUUGGAUUUACUGAUUUUGAAAAAGAGAAUUAUUCUUAUUGAUGUUGCUAAAAUAUCCAGGUGGCUUGAAUUUCACCAACUAGAUAGUUUAAUCUAGCACAUUUGUGUAGCCCUAAUCAAAUCUUUACUAACAGAUGUGAGAAGCCCAGUACUGGAGCUAAUGUUUGUGUCUCAAUGAUAAUUAAAUUAGCUUAAUAAGGAAAAUAAAUGAACAAUAAUCACCAAAAUUUUUCUCGAAACCUGUGUUAUAGUCUUAAAAACAUUUUUCCCCUAUGGAGGCUUUUGGUAAUAAAACACAAAUUGAGGGAUUUUACUUAAAAGAAAUUUUUUUCCAAGAACUGGUCAUGUACUAAAUUGCUUAUAAUCAAAUAAUCAAGUAGCAUUUCUUUUAUCAUAAGAGCAAAACCUAUAAUUAAGCCAAAAUUCAAAUUUGUUUUCAAAGGUUGAAUAAUCCUUUGUUUUGGCCAAUAGUAUGUGGAUUUUUUCUUUUAAGGAUUAUCUCUUCGUAGUAUUUUCUAAUGGAUAGGAAAUGCCUUUCUCUGGUUGAAUGAUUAUUUCCACAUAGAAUUAGUUCCUGCUUACGAGUGCUCCACUAAUGUAAUGGCUCAGUGAAUUGUCUUUAUAAUUCAUUAAUCAUAGCUCACAUUGAGCUUCUGGAUCCGGAUGACAGUGCCCACCACAGGCCAAAUAACUUCUCAUUUAAAGGCAAUUUGUACGAAUAGGGAAGGUGAGAAUUCUCCCAGUCCCUGAGGGAUUGAAGAGCUGUUCAAAAGCCAAGAUAAGGCAUUUUAUGGAAGGCAGGUUGAUGGAAGAAAGGUGGCCAUCAGAGGAUGAGGCAAAUGGCUUUCGAGGGAGGCCCUGGUGCUGCCGCCAUGGGGAAGCCCCUGUUGCAGUUGCUGAUCAGAGCACAUUGGACGGUGCUUCCGUGUGAACGUGAAGACAAUGCUGCCUCUGUUCCUGUGACGCUGUGCUCUGACCUUGCUGGAGGCAAAGUGGUGUCAGCUGUGCUUACAGGACAGUCAGUGGUGGUGGAAAAGAGGCCAGUGUGACCUGUGGAGGACUGGGCCCCUCUCACUCAACCCGAGUGCCUGCAGCCAUGGGAAGAUCUCAAGUGACCCGUUAGCCGGAAGAGGAAAUCAAGCCUGCUAUCAAGACUGACGCUGGGAGAAUUUCUCCAGGGCACUUAGGAAAAUUGAAGAUCCGUGCCUCCUGCCACACAAGCAUUGGAAGAGAUCAAAGGCCACCCCUGGAAGCUCAAGAGUCCAUCAGGGAAGGACCAGGAGAGUCCAUGGGGACAUGGGCAAAUAUCAAAACCUAAGUUUUCUACUCAGUAAAUACCUCCGAUUCACAUCUCACUGGUUCUGGGGAAGCAAAGCGACCACUCUGUAGAAAACAGGAAACUGAGAAAGAGAUCGAUAGGUCAUCAAAGCCACCUGCUUGCUUGGUGGCCCCUCAAGUUGUCUUUUGCUCAGAAGUUCUGAGAGUUGAUGAAAGUGAUCAUUGGAAGUGCCCAGUCCAGCUCAGGCCAGUCUGUAUUGCUGCCAAAUAAACUAUUUUUAAAGUUCUUUGGGCUUUGAAAAAUGUUCUGACUGGUAGCUGGACGUGGUGGCUCAUACUUGCAAUCCCAGCACUUUGGGAGGCCAAGGCAGGCAGAUCACCUGAGGCCAGGAGUUUGAGAUCAGCCUGGUU